RNAcentral lists this ribosomal RNA (293 nucleotides) under uncultured bacterium. Its description in RNAcentral is "partial 16S ribosomal RNA". It matches the Rfam family "Bacterial small subunit ribosomal RNA", at positions 30 to 319 of the family's 1533-position model. The record is from RNAcentral.
AUUGAACGCUGGCGGCGUGCUUAACACAUGCAAGUCGUGCGGUAACAGGCGUAGCAAUACGUGCUGACGAGCGGCGAACGGGUGCGUAAUACAUGGGAAUCUGCCUUUUAGUGGGGAAUAACCCGGCGAAAGCCGGGCUAAUGCCGCAUAAGAUCUUCGGAUGAAAGCGGGGGAGUCGUAAGACCUCGCGCUGAUAGAUGAGCCCACUGCCGGAUUAGCUAGUUGGNGAGGUAACGGCUCACCAAGGCGACGAUCCGUAGCUGGUCUGAGAGGACGGCCAGCCACACUGGGAC